RNAcentral lists this ribosomal RNA (143 nucleotides) under uncultured Leptolyngbya sp. Its description in RNAcentral is "partial 23S ribosomal RNA". It matches the Rfam family "Bacterial large subunit ribosomal RNA", at positions 2308 to 2448 of the family's 2925-position model. Lineage: Bacteria; Bacillati; Cyanobacteriota; Cyanophyceae; Leptolyngbyales; Leptolyngbyaceae. The record is from RNAcentral.
GNNCAAAGGUUCCUUCAGAAGGNUGGUAACCGGCCACGGAGNGCUAAUGGAAUAAGGGAGCUUGACUGCGAGACCUUACAAGUCGAGCAGGUACGAAAGUAGGCNAUAGUGAUCCGACGGUUCAGCAUGGAAUGGCCAGUCGC